RNAcentral lists this transfer RNA (73 nucleotides) under Fidelibacterota bacterium. RNAcentral's name for it is "tRNA-Lys". It matches the Rfam family "tRNA". From Rfam's summary of the family: Transfer RNA (tRNA) molecules are approximately 80 nucleotides in length. Their secondary structure includes four short double-helical elements and three loops (D, anti-codon, and T loops). RNAcentral also lists the same sequence under 1 other name. The record is from RNAcentral. Lineage: Bacteria; Pseudomonadati; Fidelibacterota.
GCCCCGAUAGCUUAAUUGGUAGAGCAGCGGCCUCUUAAGCCGACGGUUCCAGGUUCGAGUCCUGGUCGGGGCA